CCUACGGGAUGCACCAGUGGGGAAUAUUGGACAAUGGGCGAAAGCCUGAUCCAGCAAUGCGCGUGAGUGAUGAAGGCCUUAGGGUUGUAAAGCUCUUUUACCCGGGAUGAUAAUGACAGUACCGGGAGAAUAAGCUCCGGCUAACUCCGUGCCAGCAGCCGCGGUAAUACGGAGGGAGCUAGCGUUGUUCGGAAUUACUGGGCGUAAAGCGCACGUAGGCGGCUUUGUAAGUUAGAGGUGAAAGCCUGGAGCUCAACUCCAGAACUGCCUUUAAGACUGCAUCGCUUGAAUCCAGGAGAGGUGAGUGGAAUUCCGAGUGUAGAGGUGAAAUUCGUAGAUAUUCGGAAGAACACCAGUGGCGAAGGCGGCUCACUGGACUGGUAUUGACGCUGAGGUGCGAAAGCGUGGGGAGCAAACAGGAUUAGAUACCCGGGUAGUC
Molecule: ribosomal RNA, 439 nt
Filed under: uncultured bacterium
Lineage: Bacteria
Description: bacterial SSU rRNA
Rfam family: Bacterial small subunit ribosomal RNA
Source: RNAcentral